AUGUGCAAAUUAGUGCAAGCUGGAGCGGUUGGUUUUAGAGUUGGCACUGAGAACCAGCAGGGUUUGCUCCGUGCACCUCGCUGCGUCUCUGGAUCCACCCUGCUGAUUCUGCUGCUGGCCUGAUGGGUUGCUAGGUACAUUCAGAGUCAGGCCGCGGUGCUGGUUUGAAAGUGGUGGUUAGUUUCUAGUCCGCUGGUGGCGAGCAAUCUUCGAACUGGUUGAAGCCAGUUAACUCGUUUGUUUCAAAUAGUGGACAAGGACUGCGGAGGAAGUCGGAGGAGAGAGAGAGAGAUAGAAGGUCCGGAGGGAAACGCGGUGACCGCGGGUUGUAGCAAAAGUAAUCGGCGCGUCUAGGUUUUCAUUUUCAGGUUGGAAAAUAAUCAGAAAUGGGACGACGGUGGCAGGUAGAAAUGGCGACGUUGAUGAGGAUAAUGGAGAAUCUCGUAACUUGAUAGGGUCUGAUCUCACGACAGGAGGAGGAGAAGGAGCGGGGUCUUUUGCCGCCGAUUUUCGAAUACUUGCGAAUUGUACCUACAUCCACAACCAUGCCGGAUCAUGGUCGCCUUGUCGCUCUAUUCUUCAUCUUUUCUUUGAUAUCGUGUCCCGUUCACGCUUUGACAGAGCUUGAACGGGCGAAAAGCAUGCUGCUGCAGAAGGAGACGGACCUCAGUAUCUUAGUUUCGCAGGUCCAGAAAAAUCACGAUGCCGUUCAACAGAAUUGUGAUUCGCUAAAAAAUUGUGGUGAGGGUCCUGCCUGCUCUCGAUUAUCUUGUUUCAGCUAUUCCGGAACUUCCAGGUUGGACGACUACAAAUGCCAUCAUGUUUAUAACAACUCCUUCUGCCCAGUGGGCGGUGGGCCUUGCCAGUACAGGAACUUCGACUUCAGCCAAAGUUUUGUGAGGCGCGUCGUCGAUGACCCGGGUUCCAGACAAUCAAUAUGUGCGCAGAAGAAGUUGCAUAAUUACAUGACGAAAAUGUCGAAUGAUACGCAUUUCUUUCAAGCUUACUACGGAGCUAUUGAUGGCUCUUUCCGCUACUUCCCGGGAGCGGAUGAAGUGUCUUGCGAGCAGAUCUAUGAUCCAAGGAUCAGGCCAUGGUUCCGUGAAUCAAUACAUGCAAAGAAAUCUGUCGUUGUGUUGAUAAAUACUGGCUCCACGAUGACAGAUAACAUCAAUGCACAAAAUUUUACUUUGUUGGACAAGGUAAAGGAAAAGUUGAGCUCAACUUUUCCGAGAACCCUAUCAGGGAAGGACAAGAUAACCUUCAUGACGUUCAACUACAGUGGAUCUUACCGCUUAAAUCCGGAUCCGUAUGUUGUGGGGUCGGAUGCUAAUACUCCAAAUGGUGAUUCCACCGUCGAGAAAUUAAAGAAUAUAGUGUACACUCCAGAUUUGGGGAUAUCUCUCACAGAUCCCACUGAAGUGAAUGCUACGAAUUCAAUUAAUGGCGCCAUCGACCUGCUAAGUAAAGACGAUCCUCAAUAUUUCAAGGUCAUACUGAUGUUCACUACUGGCAGCGUCCGCAUUCCGCCGAACAUCACGUUGGACUCGAGUGUAAGAUUGUUCAUUUACAAUCUGGACACCGGCAGCAACCAGAGUCCGAAUGAGUGUUCCGUCGAUAGAGUGCAUUUUGAAGAUCUCAACUACGUUGCUUUCGAUAAGAAUAUUCUAUUUGCCUUACGGGCAUACUUUUCGUGGUUUGGCAACAUCCAUCGGCUGAUAAUGAAUUCAUCUAAGGAUUAUAGUGAACAAUACUCGGAUUACAGUGGAGUCGACGUAAACACAUUCACACUGAGCGUACCAGGUACGCAACAUCCAAGUCUCGUUUUCGCGUUGACUGGGAACCAGCUUCUCGGUGUUGUCGGCGUGGAUAUCUUCAAAACUGAAACUGCGAAUGACUACGGUUUCAGAGACCCGACCACGCUGACAGCCGCUGUCACUGGACGCUACAACCAGUCGACUAGCACCUCCGAUGGUUACGAUGCGUCCACGAUGAUCAACGUGCCCAGCGUGUGCUACACUCCGUACACCAUCUGCGCAGACUCCAUAAUCGACGAAAACAACAUAUGCCUACCCAAUCCCGAAAAUCACGACAUGAAAGUCAGCUGCUGCGGAGCCUGCAGCCCAAAGAAAAACUCCCUGCCCAUUCGCUUAAUCGCCGGUUUGACAGCCGGUGGAGUGAUCACAAUAGCGUUCUUGGCAUGCUUGUGUUGCUUCUGUCAGAGGCAGAUCGAAGAGAAAAAGCGAAAUAAAGCUAUUAGAGAUAUACGUAUUUUUGAGCCACCUGCAGGAGCGGGUGCACGAUCCACUGGCACUGAGGACCCCCCUACGGGCACAGCUCCCCAUUCGCGGAGACACGCCGCGGCCGCCAUUACCUCCGAGACCUAGAGCCUACGUCCCAAGCCCCAACAACAGUGUCGGUGUCGGUGGUGUUCAUGAAUCAUGGCUCACCGACUAGGUGAUGAUGCCUCUCCGAGCAAGUAUCGGCAGCACUUUGCUGAAAUGUGUUGUUUAGUCUCAGAAGUUCUUUGAUUCUUUGUGGAGUAAAAAAAGCUAUAAGGUUAAUGAGAAGUGAUGGAUUCCCAACAAUCGCACAUUUACGCACUUCGUAAAUAGGUCAGGCGAUCUCUGUCAUGUGCCUUGUUUUAUGAUUUUUUGUCAGAAUCGUUGAUAGAUUUCAUUUAAUUAAAAAGUUUGUUCAAUAAGAUGACCAAGCAGCCAUUUUAUGUGUCUCUCAAUACUAACUAAAACCUGAUUUAUUUACUCAGAUGCAGUGUUUAGGAUAUCAUUAAAUAUGAUGGUGAGUUUUAAUUUUACCGAUUAAUUCCGAACAUCUUGAUGUAUGUUCUGAUAUAAAAUUUGUUGUUCUCCGAA
Molecule: non-coding RNA, 2873 nt
Organism: Physcomitrium patens
Lineage: Eukaryota; Viridiplantae; Streptophyta; Bryopsida; Funariales; Funariaceae
Source: RefSeq, a predicted model, not a curated record